UUUAUGGAGAGUUUGAUCCUGGCUCAGGAUGAACGCUGGCGGCGUGCCUAAUACAUGCAAGUCGAGCGAACGGAUGAGAAGCUUGCUUCUCUGAUGUUAGCGGCGGACGGGUGAGUAACACGUGGAUAACCUACCUAUAAGACUGAGAUAACUUCGGGAAACCGGAGCUAAUACCGGAUAAUAUUUUGA
Molecule: ribosomal RNA, 189 nt
Filed under: Staphylococcus aureus
Lineage: Bacteria; Bacillati; Bacillota; Bacilli; Caryophanales; Staphylococcaceae
Description: partial 16S ribosomal RNA
Rfam family: Bacterial small subunit ribosomal RNA
Source: RNAcentral